This 497-nucleotide ribosomal RNA is filed under the name uncultured bacterium. RNAcentral describes it as "partial 16S ribosomal RNA". It matches the Rfam family "Bacterial small subunit ribosomal RNA", at positions 28 to 507 of the family's 1533-position model. The record is from RNAcentral.
GAUGAACGCUGGCGGCGUGCCUAAUACAUGCAAGUCGAGCGAACAGACGAGGAGCUUGCUCCUCUGACGUUAGCGGCGGACGGGUGAGUAACACGUGGAUAACCUACCUAUAAGACUGGGAUAACUUCGGGAAACCGGAGCUAAUACCGGAUAAUAUAUUGAACCGCAUGGUUCAAUAGUGAAAGACGGUUUUGCUGUCACUUAUAGAUGGAUCCGCGCCGCAUUAGCUAGUUGGUAAGGUAACGGCUUACCAAGGCAACGAUGCGUAGCCGACCUGAGAGGGUGAUCGGCCACACUGGAACUGAGACACGGUCCAGACUCCUACGGGAGGCAGCAGUAGGGAAUCUUCCGCCAUGGGCGAAAGCCUGACGGAGCAACGCCGCGUGAGUGAUGAAGGUCUCCGGAUCGUAAAACUCUGUUAUUAGGGAAGAACAAAUGUGUAAGUAACUAUGCACGUCUUGACGGUACCUAAUCAGAAAGCCACGGCUAACUACGUG